Molecule: long non-coding RNA, 269 nt
Filed under: Gallus gallus (chicken)
Lineage: Eukaryota; Metazoa; Chordata; Aves; Galliformes; Phasianidae
Source: RNAcentral
CCAGCUACCACCUGUCCAGAAGUGAUGUUUCUUCUCCAGCUGACCAUCCAAACCGAAUCCUCAGUGCUAUACUGUGGCACUGCAGCCACUACAAUGACUUCACUCACAAUCUAUUCUUCAUGAAGGAUUAACUGCUAGAGAAACCCACCAAGGAGGAUAGUAAAUUUUCCAGCUCUGGUAUUUUCCAAUUAAGUUUGCAAGCUCUCCUGGAAAUAUGCUUCAACCAUCCCAGGACAAAUUACUGGGAGGUAAGUGGAUGAAGACAAGCA